RNAcentral lists this ribosomal RNA (498 nucleotides) under uncultured bacterium. RNAcentral describes it as "partial 16S ribosomal RNA". It matches the Rfam family "Bacterial small subunit ribosomal RNA", at positions 30 to 523 of the family's 1533-position model. The record is from RNAcentral.
AUUGAACGCUGGCGGCAUGCCUUACACAUGCAAGUCGAACGGUAACAGGUCUUCGGAUGCUGACGAGUGGCGAACGGGUGAGUAAUACAUCGGAACGUGCCUAGUAGUGGGUGAUAACUACUCGAAAGAGUGGCUAAUACCGCAUGAGAUCUACGGAUGAAAGCAGGGGAUCGCAAGACCUUGUGCUACUAGAGCGGCCGAUGGCAGAUUAGGUAGUUGGUGGGAUAAAAGCUUACCAAGCCGACGAUCUGUAGCUGGUCUGAGAGGACGAUCAGCCAGACUGGGACUGAGACACGGCCCAGACUCCUACGGGAGGCAGCAGUGGGGAAUUUUGGACAAUGGGCGAAAGCCUGAUCCAGCAAUGCCGCGUGCAGGAUGAAGGCCUUCGGGUUGUAAACUGCUUUUGUACGGAACGAAAAGCCCCGGGUUAAUACCCUGGGGUCAUGACGGUACCGUAAGAAUAAGCACCGGCUAACUACGUGCCAGCAGCCGCAGUAA